GCCGUGAUAGGUCAGUUGGGAGAGCGUUAGACUGAAGAUCUAAAUGUCCCUGGUUCUAUCCCGGGUCGCGGCA
Molecule: transfer RNA, 73 nt
Filed under: Taenia asiatica
Lineage: Eukaryota; Metazoa; Platyhelminthes; Cestoda; Cyclophyllidea; Taeniidae
Rfam family: tRNA
About the family: Transfer RNA (tRNA) molecules are approximately 80 nucleotides in length. Their secondary structure includes four short double-helical elements and three loops (D, anti-codon, and T loops). Further hydrogen bonds mediate the characteristic L-shaped molecular structure. tRNAs have two regions of fundamental functional importance: the anti-codon, which is responsible for specific mRNA codon recognition, and the 3' end, to which the tRNAs corresponding amino acid is attached (by aminoacyl-tRNA synthetases). tRNAs cope with the degeneracy of the genetic code in two manners: having more than one tRNA (with a specific anti-codon) for a particular amino acid; and 'wobble' base-pairing, i.e. permitting non-standard base-pairing at the 3rd anti-codon position.
Source: Rfam by way of RNAcentral